Unclassified non-coding RNA from Otolemur garnettii (small-eared galago), 318 nucleotides. Its record names the gene 7SK. It matches the Rfam family "7SK RNA". Rfam says of the family: 7SK was discovered as an abundant small nuclear RNA in the mid-70s but a possible function has only recently been suggested. Two independent studies have found that 7SK RNA binds the CDK9/cyclin T complex (known as elongation factor P-TEFb). The record is from Ensembl. Lineage: Eukaryota; Metazoa; Chordata; Mammalia; Primates; Galagidae.
GGAAAUAUGAGGGAGAUCUGGCUGGAACAUCUGUCACCCCAUUGAUCACCAGGAUGGAUUCAGCAGAUCUGACUGGCUAAGCAGGUGUCCCCUUUCUCCCUUGCUGUUCCAUGUGUGCCCCUCCUACAUCUGCUUCCUUGGUCAAAGAGGACAACCUUCCCUGAUUGAGAAGGACCAUUCUUCAGACAAAAACAGAUAAGUAGCUGCACUCCCCUGCCAGAACCUCCAAACAAGCUCUCAAGGAAACAGGUGAGGGGGUUGUAUUAAUUUAAUAAACCAGAAGUACCAUAUUUAUUCAUUGAUUCCACAAAAAUUUAU